GUGAGUAGGCGUCAUUCUUCACAGUAGUCCUCUGCCUCCACCGCCCCGGGAUCUCCUUGCGCUCGGUCCUCUACGUGGAGUCACCUAUGCAGAGGAAUUCCACGGGGCGGGGGCGAGGACAGGGUGCGGGGGUCUUUAUGGCAGACAAUCCCCGGCUGAGCGCUUGGCCAGAGUUUCUGUGAUGCUAGAAUCUGGACUGCCUGCGACCUCUCCGGGACUCGGACACCAGCCCUCGCCUCCUGGUGAUCUUUUAGGUCCUGCAGAGAAGUGAAGAGAUCUCGCUCUGUCACCCAGGCUGGAGUGAAAUGGCACAAUCUUGGCUCACUGUAACCUCCGCCCCCAGGUUCGACUGAUUCUCGUGCCUCAGCCUCCUCAGUAGCUGGGAUUACAGAUGAGCCCCAGAGAGGCGAAGCCACUUGAGCUCGUGAGUGACAGUCAGAUGUCAAGCCCUGCUCUUUCUAAAGCGUGCUGCCUUCAGAAAAGAAGAGCCAGAAGGAUGGAAAUUACUUCAGAAAGAUGAAUACCAGCUUUGAAGGAAUAAAAGCUGACGAGGAAUUGAAGGAGUUGAGGCACGAGCUUGAACAGGGUUGCAUGUUUGGCCCUUGAUUGUAAAUGCCCAUUGCUGCACCUGUUCCUGUUACUUGGGGAGUUGCAGCAGAAGGAACAGCGGCCUGGGACUCCAGAGAACUGGGUUCCCUCUCAUCCCUCCAGGGCCACCACUUCUUGUGGGCCCUUGGGCAAGUCACUGUACUUUCUGAGUCUCAGUUUCCCCAUUUGCAGAAUGGAAAUAACUACCCCGGUCUACCAACUUAGAAGAAUUGCUUUGAGGAUCUGAUAAGGUGGUGUGGAUGAUGCUGCCUUGGGGGCUUUACAGUCUGGAGCUCAAGGGACCCCUUAAGUUGGGCUUACUUAGUAACUCCAGGGGUGGGCAGAACAGGACUCCAAUGAGGGUUUUUUUCUUUUUCCCUUUUUUUUCUUUUCCUAUCUCUUAACUUUUAUCUUUAUUAUUUUACAAUGCCCUUGUAAGAUGAAACAAGUGAUGCUGAAAUAUCUUUUUCUUUUUUAACCUUUAUUUUAGAAUUGGGGUACAUGUGCAGGUUUGUUACAUAGGUACAGUGUGGGCUGCUGAGGUUUGGGAGUACGAAUGAAUUAGUCACCCCAGUGGUGAGCAUAGUGCCCGAUAAGUGGUUUUUUCAACCCUUACUCCCAUCCCUCUCCAUUCUUGUGUUCCCCAGUGUCUGCUGUUCCCAUUUUUAUGACCAUGUGUACUCAAUGUUUAGCUCCCACUUAGAAGUAAGAACAUGCCCAGCACUUUGGGAGGCCGAGGUGGGUGGAUCAUGAGGUCAAGAGAUCGAGACCAUCUUGGCUAACAAAGUGAAACCCUGUCUCUACUAAAAACAUAAAAAAUUGGCCGGGUGUGGUGGUGGGCACCUGUAGUCCUAGCUACUCGGGAGGCUGAGACAGGAGAAUCGCCUGAACCGGGGAGGUGGAGGUUGCAGUGAGCUGAGAUUGUACCACUGCACUCCAGCCUGGGUGACAGAGUGAGACUCCAUCUCAAAAAAAUAAAAAUAAAAAAAUAAAAAGAAUGUGGUGUAUGA
RNAcentral lists this long non-coding RNA (1598 nucleotides) under Homo sapiens (human). RNAcentral describes it as "non-protein coding OSER1-DT:35". Lineage: Eukaryota; Metazoa; Chordata; Mammalia; Primates; Hominidae. The record is from RNAcentral.